GGGUCGAGCCCGACCGGCUCCCGGACGAGGGUGGUCGUACCCGGAGUGCGACAAGACGACCACGU
RNAcentral lists this non-coding RNA (65 nucleotides) under Ornithinimicrobium sp. CNJ-824. The record is from RNAcentral. RNAcentral also lists the same sequence under 1 other name. Lineage: Bacteria; Bacillati; Actinomycetota; Actinomycetes; Micrococcales; Ornithinimicrobiaceae.